UCCACAAAGCCUCUUUUUUUAACUUUUGACCUCGGAUCAGGUAGGGAUACCC
RNAcentral lists this ribosomal RNA (52 nucleotides) under Alternaria sp. CBS 102.26. RNAcentral's name for it is "partial 28S ribosomal RNA". The record is from RNAcentral. Lineage: Eukaryota; Fungi; Ascomycota; Dothideomycetes; Pleosporales; Pleosporaceae.